RNAcentral lists this ribosomal RNA (776 nucleotides) under uncultured Neocallimastigales. RNAcentral's name for it is "partial large subunit ribosomal RNA". It matches the Rfam family "Eukaryotic large subunit ribosomal RNA", at positions 24 to 631 of the family's 3401-position model. Lineage: Eukaryota; Fungi; Neocallimastigomycota; Neocallimastigomycetes; Neocallimastigales. The record is from RNAcentral.
UAUGUGAUCGUCUCUCGCAUAUCAAUAAGCGGAGGAAAAGAAACUAACAAGGAUUCCCCUAGUAACGGCGAGUGAAGCGGGAAGAGCUCAAAUUUGAAAUCUUAAAGGGUUUCCCUUUACGAAUUGUAGUUUAAAGAAGUGUUUUCUGUUGAGGUUUUGGUAAAAGUUCUUUGGAAUAGGACAUCAUAGAGGGUGAGAAUCCCGUAUUUGACCUUUACUUUCAACUUUGUGAUACACUUUCAAAGAGUCGGAUUGUUUGGGAAUGCAGUCCAAAAUGGGUGGUAAAUUUCAUCUAAAGCUAAAUAUUGGCGAGAGACCGAUAGCGAACAAGUACCGUGAGGGAAAGAUGAAAAGAACUUUGAAAAGAGAGUUAAACAGUACGUGAAAUUGUCAAAAGGGGAAGCGUUUGACACCAGUGUUGUUUUUCUGAAAAUCAGUUAAAGAACUGUUUAUGCUAAGUUGUUUAGACUUUAUCAGCUAAUCUGUUCAGUUUUGAGCUUUUCUUUAAUGCACUUUUCAGUUAACAAGUCAAUAUCAAUUUCUUUUGCUGUAAAAAAGCUUGAGGAAGGUGGCUUGAGAUUCGUCUUAAGUGUUUAUAGCCUCUUGCCUAUGCAGUCGGAGAGAUUGAGGUCUGCAGCGUAGAUCCUUCGGGGCUAAAUGCAUUUGUGCUAAGUUAUAGCAUUUUAUAGACAACUUGUUGACUAUGAUUUGUCUUGUAGCUUACUCGCUUAUGUUAUUUUACCUACGCUUAGGAUGUUGAUCUACAGAGCGAGAGU